RNAcentral lists this ribosomal RNA (226 nucleotides) under uncultured Chlorobiota bacterium. RNAcentral's name for it is "uncultured Chlorobi bacterium partial 16S ribosomal RNA". It matches the Rfam family "Bacterial small subunit ribosomal RNA", at positions 563 to 788 of the family's 1533-position model. Lineage: Bacteria; Pseudomonadati; Chlorobiota. The record is from RNAcentral.
AAGGGUGCGCAGGCGGACUAAUAAGUCGGGGGUUAAAUCCAUGUGCUUAACACAYGCAUGGCUUCCGAUACUGUUAGUCUAGAGUGUCGAAGAGGAAGAUGGAAUUUCCGGUGUAACGGUGGAAUGUGUAGAUAUCGGAAAGAACACCAGUGGCGAAGGCAGUCUUCUGGUCGAYUACUGACGCUCAGGCACGAAAGCGUGGGGAGCAAACAGGAUUAGAUACCCC